RNAcentral lists this long non-coding RNA (224 nucleotides) under Fukomys damarensis (Damara mole-rat). RNAcentral describes it as "lncRNA (ENSFDAG00000026246.1)". Lineage: Eukaryota; Metazoa; Chordata; Mammalia; Rodentia; Bathyergidae. The record is from RNAcentral.
CUUCAGUCUGCUUUGUGCUUGAGGGACACCAUUGCCUCUCCAGUCUGGGGAAUCACUGUCAUCCACUUGAAAGCAGGAUGAUUAAAGGCCACACCGGCAGUGAUGGACCCACAGCUGCAACAGUUUGAGAAGCACCCUGUGCCCUGCCCUGUUCUGCCCCUGUUACAGGUCAGCACUUCACAGAGGCAAAGUCCAGGAAGCUGUCCCUGCUAGCUGGAUCCUGA